GCUGGGUGUGGUGAUGCAUGCCUAUAAUCCCAGCAACUUGGGAGGCUGAGGCAGGAGGACCCCAGGUUCGAAGCCCCCCUCAGCAACAUAUUGAGGCCCUAAGUAACUUACUGAGAUCUUGUCUCAA
This 127-nucleotide small RNA is filed under the name Marmota monax (woodchuck). The record is from RNAcentral. Lineage: Eukaryota; Metazoa; Chordata; Mammalia; Rodentia; Sciuridae.